This 1206-nucleotide ribosomal RNA is filed under the name Triticum aestivum (bread wheat). Its description in RNAcentral is "partial small subunit ribosomal RNA". Lineage: Eukaryota; Viridiplantae; Streptophyta; Magnoliopsida; Poales; Poaceae. The record is from RNAcentral.
AUGGCGGCUACCGCGGCGGCGUCGCGCUCCUCCUCCCUGCUCCUCUCCCGCCGCCACGGCGCGUCCUUGUCCUCCUCCUCGUCGGCGUCCCGCGCCGGCGCCUCCCGCCUCCGCGCGCCGAGGUGCGUGCUCGGGACGGCGGAGCAGCUGCGGGUGGUCGAGGCGGGGAAGCCGGUGGGCGGGGCCGACCCGUGGGCCGCGGCCUGGACGCCCAAGACGCCCGCGCAGGAGGCCAGGCUCGCCGCGCUGCCGCAGGAGGCGCGCGACUCCAGGCUCAAGAUCUUCUCCGGCACCGCCAACCGCCCGCUCGCGCAGGAAAUUGCUUCUUAUCUGGGCGUAGACCUUGGCAAGAUCCUUAUCAAGCGCUUUGCUGAUGGAGAAAUCUACGUGCAACUGCAAGAGAGUGUGAGGGGCUGUGAUGUCUUCUUGGUGCAGCCCACUUGCUCUCCUGUCAAUGAAAACCUCAUGGAGCUCUUCAUCAUGAUUGAUGCAUGUCGGCGGGCCUCAGCGCGAUCUAUUACCGUUGUCAUUCCGUACUUUGGAUAUGCCAGAGCAGACAGAAAGGCUCAAGGACGUGAGGCAAUUACUGCCAAACUGGCUGCAAAUUUACUCACGGAAGCUGGCAGUGACCGUGUCAUUGUAUGUGAUAUGCAUUCUGCACAAGCAUUGGGAUACUUCGAUAUUCCUGUGGACCAUAUAUAUGGACAGCCUGUGAUUCUGGAUUACCUUGCUAGCAAGACAAUUUCUAAGGAUCUUGUGGUUGUUUCUCCUGAUGUGGGUGGUGUUGUUAGAGCACGUGCCUUUGCCAAGAAAUUGUCUGACGCCCCUUUAGCUAUUGUUGACAAAAGAAGACAGGGUCACAAUCUGUCAGAGGUCAUGCACUUAAUUGGUGAUGUGAAGGGGAAAGUUGCUAUCAUGGUUGAUGACAUGAUUGACACAGCGGGGACAAUUACUAGCGGAGCAGCAUUGUUAAAACAGGAGGGAGCAGAGGCUGUUUAUGCUUGUUGCACACAUGCUGUCCUCAGCCCACCUGCAAUUGAAAGGCUUUCUGGAGGCAUCUUUGAGGAAGUUAUAGUUACGAACUCCAUCCUGCUACCAGAGGACAAAUGCUUCCCUCAGCUGACAGUGCUCUCCAUGGCAAACCUUGUAGCAGAAACUAUCUGGCAUGUUCACCGCGACGGCUCAGUGAGCAGCAUCUUCCAAUAA